UCGAGGAUCUUCGUCAAUGGGCGCAAGCCUGAACGAGCGACGCCGCGUGCGCGAUGAAGGCCUUCGGGUUGUAAAGCGCGAAAGUGGGGAUAAAACCGCAAGGUUGAUUGAUCCACAGUAAGGACGGGCUAAGUUCGUGCCAGCAGCCGCGGUAAGACGAACUGUCCUAACGUUGUUCGGAAUCACUGGGCUUAAAGGGCGCGUAGGCGGUCCGACAAGUCGGGGGUGAAAUCCUGCAGCUUAACUGUAGAAGUGCCUUCGAUACUGUCGGUCUUGAGGGAGGUAGGGGUGUGUGGAACUUCCAGUGGAGCGGUGAAAUGCGUUGAUAUUGGAAGGAACGCCGGAGGCGAAAGCGACGCACUGGACCUCUUCUGACGCUGAGGCGCGAAAGCUAGGGGAGCAAACGGGAUUAGAUACCCGCGUAGUCC
Molecule: ribosomal RNA, 428 nt
Filed under: uncultured bacterium
Lineage: Bacteria
Description: bacterial SSU rRNA
Rfam family: Bacterial small subunit ribosomal RNA
Source: RNAcentral